This 864-nucleotide ribosomal RNA is filed under the name Agaricus lanipedisimilis. RNAcentral's name for it is "partial large subunit ribosomal RNA". Lineage: Eukaryota; Fungi; Basidiomycota; Agaricomycetes; Agaricales; Agaricaceae. The record is from RNAcentral.
AGGAUUCCCCUAGUAACUGCGAGUGAAGCGGGAAAAGCUCAAAUUUAAAAUCUGGCAGCCUCUGGCUGUCCGAGUUGUAAUCUAGAGAAGUAAUGCCCGUGCUGGACCGUGUAUAAGUCUCCUGGGAUGGGGCGUCAUAGAGGGUGAGAAUCCCGUCUUUGACACGGACUACCAGUGCAUUGUGGUAUGCUCUCAAAGAGUCGAGUUGUUUGGGAAUGCAGCUCAAAAUGGGUGGUAAAUUCCAUCUAAAGCUAAAUAUUGGCGAGAGACCGAUAGCGAACAAGUACCGUGAGGGAAAGAUGAAAAGAACUUUGGAAAGAGAGUUAAACAGUACGUGAAAUUGCUGAAAGGGAAACGCUUGAAGUCAGUCGCGUUGGCUGGGGAUCAGCCUUGCUUUUUGCAUGGUGUACUUUCUGGUUGACGGGUCAGCAUCAAUUUUGACCACUGGAAAAGGCUCAAGGGAAUGUGGCAGCUUCGGCUGUGUUAUAGCCCCUGUUCACAUACAGUGGUUGGGAUUGAGGAACUCAGCACGCCGCAAGGCCGGGUUUYGACCACGUUCGUGCUUAGGAUGCUGGCAUAAUGGCUUUAAGCGACCCGUCUUGAAACACGGACCAAGGAGUCUAACAUGCCUGCAAGUAUUUGGGUGGAAAACCCAAGUGCGCAAUGAAAGUGAAAGUUGAGAUCCCUGUCGUGGGGAGCAUCGACGCCCGGACCAGAACUUUUGGGACGGAUCCGCGGUGGAGCAUGUAUGUUGGGACCCGAAAGAUGGUGAACUAUGCCUGAAUAGGGUGAAGCCAGAGGAAACUCUGGUGGAGGCUCGUAGCGAUUCUGACGUGCAAAUCGAUCGUCAAAUUUGGGUAUAGG